Molecule: RNA transcript, 1062 nt
Organism: Leptopilina heterotoma
Lineage: Eukaryota; Metazoa; Arthropoda; Insecta; Hymenoptera; Figitidae
Gene: zuc
Gene name: mitochondrial cardiolipin hydrolase
Exons: 5
Source: RefSeq, a predicted model, not a curated record
UGGUGGACUUUGUUAGUGAAGUGAUCAAAAGGAAUUUAUUUCAUUGAUUUCAAUUUCGUUUUUUUAUUUAAUAAUAAAUAUCAAAAAGGGUUAUUCUGAUUUAUUAACAGUUAAAAUGACGGUAGUAAAGUUUUUAGUCGGCGGUACAUGUGUUACGUGUUCGGUAUAUACUAUUUAUUGUUUGUACAAAAAAUAUAGAAACAAGUCAGAGCAACAAACGAAAAAAGGAAGAUCUUUGGUAUUAUUUUCCUCUGAAGAAUCUGUAAUGUGUAAAACUCAUUUAAUGCUUGGGAAUCCUUGCAACAGGAUUCAUUGCCCGGUACGAACUAUCAAUGAAUUGAGAAAAGCAAUUUUAUCCGCAAAACACUCUUUGGAUGUGUGCGUUUACUUCCUAACGCAUCCUUCUCUAAUUGAUGCAAUUAUAGAAGUAUUUCACAGAGAUGUACCCGUGCGAGUAAUCACUGACGCUGAUAUGUCGGACAAUACUUCGUCGACCGAACACAUAUACAAAAUGCGGAAAUUGGGCAUUCGCCUUCGUACUAAGCAGUCUUUCUAUUAUAUGCAUCAUAAAUUUGCUGUAAUUGACAAGCGAAUUCUGAUAACUGGAAGCACCAAUUGGACAAAAAAUGGUUUCUUUGGAAACUUUGAAAACAUUAUUAUCACCAAUCAACCGGAUUUGGCUAAACCGUUUGCUGAAGAAUUCGAAAGACUUUGGAUAAUUUUCGAUAAUUUACCAAAUACCAAUGGACUUGAAAACCCCAAAAACAAGAGCUCAAGGAAUUAUUGAACUCGAAAGAAAGACUAAAUAGAAUAAUUAUGCAUUAAACUUUACGUUUUGGAAAACGUAAUCAACAUUUUAUAUUUAAUUCUCAAAAGGUAAAAGAAGAUUCAAAGCUUUCGAUUAAAAAUAGAAUAAAUACUAGAGAUACUUCAAGUCAAAAUAAAUUUUUUUUUCACACCCCAUUUAAUGAUGAGCAUUUAAUAAUUUCACCUGAUAAAUUAUAUGCAGCUGUUUUGUUCGACGUUCAGAAAUCUUUUACACAACUUCCUAAAUAUCGAGUA